Molecule: long non-coding RNA, 1001 nt
Organism: Leopardus geoffroyi (Geoffroy's cat)
Lineage: Eukaryota; Metazoa; Chordata; Mammalia; Carnivora; Felidae
Exons: 2
Source: RefSeq, a predicted model, not a curated record
CUGUGCACAGACGCAGGUAGAUGGUUUGCCCAGCAGGGACCCCGUGGCCACAGUCCCACGCUGCCGGUUUCAGCAGCCUUGUGACUGGUCUGCUUCCGCUUCCUUCCUGCCCUUCGGUUCCCGGGACGGCAGCCACUGUGACACCGCUUUGCUCGAGAUGCCGCGGUGGCCGCCCUUCCUGCUCAGGUGUCCUGUGUCCGGCCCCACUGCUGCCCUCUCCUCCACCAGCGCGCCCUCCUCACACUGUGUGCGUCCGGGUGGGCCUGGCUGUUCCCUGAGAGACCAAGCCUCGUCCGCCCCAGGGCCUCUGUUCUUGCCGGUCCCUCUGCCUUGAGGACACCCUUCCCUGGGAACGUCCGCAUAGCCUGCUCCCUCUUGUCCGAACGUCCUCUUCUUGGGUCUUGGGCUACGUCAGGAGCAGCCACUCCCCCACGCACCCCUCUCUCACCCUCCUGGGUGUUCCCCAGGCCCUCGUCACCGUCUGGAGCGACUGCUUACCGUCCGUCCGCGCCGCUGGAAUGCAAGCUUCCGGAGCAGGGGCUUCGGCAGCUGCGUUCCGGUACCUGGAAGGGAAAUGGGCACGUGACUGUUAGGCUUCAAAUAAGGAUCGACGAAUGAGUGGUGGCCCUUGGUUCGCUGGAGUGAAACCCUAAAAUGCACUCCUUUUCCAUCCAGAGCCGUGCAGCCAGCACCGGUCAGUUUCAGAACACUUUUGCGAACCCAAACAAGCCCCACGCCGCUUUGUGGUCACCCCAGUCCUCCAGCCCCAGGCAGCCGCUGGUCUGCUCUCUGUGUGUGCACAUCGGCCUGUUGGGGACGUUUCAUGUGAGGCAGCUCUAGAAGCCGGUCUGCGGGCUUCUGGCGUCUUCCACGUGCUGUAGCGCUGCCAGGCUCACCGGUGCUGCGGCGAAUGUUGGAAAUCCACAGCUUACUAGAUAAGGGAAAUAAUUGCGGGAGUCUGUGUUUGUUAUCGCCGAAUAAAUGUCCCUCGUGUGAUUACA